ACAAAGUGGGAGGUAAACUCCUUCUAAAGCUAAAUAUCACCACGAGACCGAUAGCGAACAAGUACCGUGAGGGAAAGUUGAAAAGCACUCUGAAUAGAGAGUCAAAAAGUACGUGAAACUGCCUAGGGCUCAAGCCCGUUGAACUCGAUUAUCCGAGCGGAGACAUUCACCUGCGGCCGGGCUUUGCCGCCCACGCUGCAGGGCACUUGUCUCCCGCGCUACACGAGGACAUUGCGAUCCAUUACGAAACAGCUUCUGCGUCGCAAGACGCAAGGUCGCCCGACAGUUGCCCCUUGGUGCCGGUUGCUUGCCCCACCGUAGCGACGCUCAGUUCCGAAGGCCUGUGCCGCGAGCUGGGGCUUACUGCACGUGGUGUUUGCAGUCGGGCGCGUGAUGGAUUCCAGCGUACACCGUCGGCCUUCCCGCAACGGGCCGGCGGACUGUCGAUCGGCAAUGAUAAAAUCGAGGUACCU
Molecule: ribosomal RNA, 473 nt
Filed under: Aedes japonicus shintienensis
Lineage: Eukaryota; Metazoa; Arthropoda; Insecta; Diptera; Culicidae
Also listed under: 1 other name
Description: eukaryotic LSU rRNA
Rfam family: Eukaryotic large subunit ribosomal RNA
Source: RNAcentral